GACGAACGCUGGCGGCGUGCCUAAUACAUGCAAGUCGAGCGAGCGGAACUAACAGAUUUACUUCGGUAAUGACGUUAGGAAAGCGAGCGGCGGAUGGGUGAGUAACACGUGGGGAACCUGCCCCAUAGUCUGGGAUACCACUUGGAAACAGGUGCUAAUACCGGAUAAGAAAGCAGAUCGCAUGAUCAGCUUUUAAAAGGCGGCGUAAGCUGUCGCUAUGGGAUGGCCCCGCGGUGCAUUAGCUAGUUGGUAAGGUAAAGGCUUACCAAGGCGAUGAUGCAUAGCCGAGUUGAGAGACUGAUCGGCCACAUUGGGACUGAGACACGGCCCAAACUCCUACGGGAGGCAGCAGUAGGGAAUCUUCCACAAUGGACGCAAGUCUGAUGGAGCAACGCCGCGUGAGUGAAGAAGGUUUUCGGAUCGUAAAGCUCUGUUGUUGGUGAAGAAGGAUAGAGGUAGUAACUGGCCUUUAUUUGACGGUAAUCAACCAGAAAGUCACGGCUAACUACGUGCCAGCAGCCGCGGUAAUACGUAGGCGGCAAGCGUUGUCCGGAUUUAUUGGGCGUAAAGCGAGCGCAGGCGGAAGAAUAAGUCUGAUGUGAAAGCCCUCGGCUUAACCGAGGAACUGCAUCGGAAACUGUUUUUCUUGAGCGCAGAAGAGGAGAGUGGAACUCCAUGUGUAGCGGUGGAAUGCGUAGAUAUAUGGAAGAACACCAGUGGCGAAGGCGGCUCUCUGGUCUGCAACUGACGCUGAGGCUCGAAAGCAUGGGUAGCGAACAGGAUUAGAUACCCUGGUAGUCCAUGCCGUAAACGAUGAGUGCUAAGUGUUGGGAGGUUUCCGCCUCUCAGUGCUGCAGCUAACGCAUUAAGCACUCCGCCUGGGGAGUACGACCGCAAGGUUGAAACUCAAAGGAAUUGACGGGGGCCCGCACAAGCGGUGGAGCAUGUGGUUUAAUUCGAAGCAACGCGAAGAACCUUACCAGGUCUUGACAUCUAGUGCCAUUUGUAGAGAUACAAAGUUCCCUUCGGGGACGCUAAGACAGGUGGUGCAUGGCUGUCGUCAGCUCGUGUCGUGAGAUGUUGGGUUAAGUCCCGCAACGAGCGCAACCCUUGUUAUUAGUUGCCAGCAUUAAGUUGGGCACUCUAAUGAGACUGCCGGUGACAAACCGGAGGAAGGUGGGGAUGACGUCAAGUCAUCAUGCCCCUUAUGACCUGGGCUACACACGUGCUACAAUGGGCAGUACAACGAGAAGCGAGCCUGCGAAGGCAAGCGAAUCUCUGAAAGCUGUUUUCAGUUCGGACUGCAGUCUGCAACUCGACUGCACGAAGCUGGAAUCGCUAGUAAUCGCGGAUCAGCACGCCGCGGUGAAUACGUUCCCGGGCCU
Molecule: ribosomal RNA, 1385 nt
Filed under: uncultured bacterium
Lineage: Bacteria
Description: bacterial SSU rRNA
Rfam family: Bacterial small subunit ribosomal RNA
Source: RNAcentral